RNAcentral lists this ribosomal RNA (491 nucleotides) under uncultured bacterium. Its description in RNAcentral is "partial 16S ribosomal RNA". It matches the Rfam family "Bacterial small subunit ribosomal RNA", at positions 29 to 506 of the family's 1533-position model. The record is from RNAcentral.
AGUGAACGCUGGCGGUAGGCCUAACACAUGCAAGUCGAACGGCAGCACAGUAAGAGCUUGCUCUUACGGGUGGCGAGUGGCGGACGGGUGAGGAAUACAUCGGAAUCUACUUUUUCGUGGGGGAUAACGUAGGGAAACUUACGCUAAUACCGCAUACGACCUACGGGUGAAAGCAGGGGAUCUUCGGACCUUGCGCGAUUGAAUGAGCCGAUGUCGGAUUAGCUAGUUGGCGGGGUAAAGGCCCACCAAGGCGACGAUCCGUAGCUGGUCUGAGAGGAUGAUCAGCCACACUGGAACUGAGACACGGUCCAGACUCCUACGGGAGGCAGCAGUGGGGAAUAUUGGACAAUGGGCGCAUGCCUGAUCCAGCCAUACCGCGUGGGUGAAGAAGGCCUUCGGGUUGUAAAGCCCUUUUGUUGGGAAAGAAAAGCAGCAGGUUAAUACCCCGCUGUUCUGACGGUACCCAAAGAAUAAGCACCGGCUAACUUCGU